CAGUCGCCGCGGUAAUACGGAGGAUCCAAGCGUUAUCCGGAUUUAUUGGGUUUAAAGGGUGCGUAGGCGGCCUAUUAAGUCAGGGGUGAAAGACGGUAGCUCAACUAUCGCAGUGCCUUUGAUACUGAUGGGCUUGAAUGUACUUGAGGUAGGCGGAAUGUGACAAGUAGCGGUGAAAUGCAUAGAUAUGCCACAGAACACCAAUUGCGAAGGCAGCUUACUAAAGUAUGAUUGACGCUGAGGCACGAAAGCGUGGGGAUCAAACAGGAUUAGAUACCCCUGUAGUCCCUGUCUCUUAUAA
Molecule: ribosomal RNA, 301 nt
Filed under: uncultured bacterium
Lineage: Bacteria
Description: partial 16S ribosomal RNA
Rfam family: Bacterial small subunit ribosomal RNA
Source: RNAcentral